CAGGUAACAAACCUGAAAGGUUGACGAGGCUGGCAGUGCCGGCACCGGGCGGCGGCGGCGGCGGACCUAACCUCAGUCAAAGCUGUCAUUAAUGGCUCGUCUACCAGAGACGGUCACACCACCAGCGGUUAUUGGUGCCAGCAUGGUGACAGCAGCGUGGUGACAGCGUGGUGCCAGUGUGACCAGUUCCGACGCCAGAUUGAAACUGCUUUCCAACGCGCACGGAAAAAAACGUCCAAGACAAUUCUGUUGCUAUCAACAAUAAUGUAACAGGUCACGAAUGCACAUCAUUUUUGUUAACGAUAGCUAAAAUGUAAAAAUUAGAACCAAACGUCAGGAAUAAACAUGUAAACAAACACUUA
This is a long non-coding RNA of Amphibalanus amphitrite, 362 nucleotides long. RefSeq lists it as uncharacterized. The transcript is spliced from 2 exons. Lineage: Eukaryota; Metazoa; Arthropoda; Thecostraca; Balanomorpha; Balanidae. The record is from RefSeq and is a predicted model, not a curated record.